AAGCAAACCCGAAAACCGGAAACCGCAGCCGCCGUUGAGGUCACAGUCCACUGCUGUGGGGUGACGCUGACAGGAACAGGAAGGAACAGAAGGGCUGUGUCCUGCAGCCUCCCUCUAGUGCCCCCUAUUGGCAGAGCCCAACAGGGCGGCUGCGAGCAGAAGGGAGGGCUGGGAGUUCUACGAAGUUCCCACCGUGACAGAGCAGAGCAGAUGGCGUGGAUGGGAGCUUAAUAACUGGCCUGAGGGAGAAGGGGGACGAGAGGGGAGACUGGGAGCAGGAUCGUGAGGUGCGGACUGUGGGAGGGGAGGGGAGAGUUCUCCCACGGUCACCUCUUCUGGAGUGAGGAAGGCCCAGAGAGAAAACACCCUCAAGACAUAGGGCAGCGCGCCAACCCUUCUCCUUCCGCUUCACACCCUGCACUUGGUGACACACCACACACAUAGAUGCAUCACACACACACCAUGCACACAGACCACAUACACCCACACACACCACACCACAUACACGCACACACACCACACACCACAUUCACGCACACACCACACACCACAUUCACGCACACACCACACACCACAUACACGCACACACACCCCACAUACACACACACACACCACAUACCACAUACACGCACACACAUCACAUUCACGCACACACACCACAUACACGCACACAUGCACACACACCACAUACACCACACACCACAUACACGCACACACCACACACCACAUACACGCACACACACACCACAUACACACACAAACCACAUACACGCACACACACACACACCACAUACACACACACCACAUACACGCACACACGCGCACACAUACCACAUAUACAUCCACACACACCACACACCACAUACACGCACACACACACCACAUACACACACACCACAUACACGCACACACGCGCACACAUACCACAUAUACAUCCACACACACCACACACCACAUACACGCACACACACACUACAUACACGUGCACACACACCACAUACACGCACACACACACCACAUACACACACACCACAUACACACACAAACACACACCACAUACACGCACACACACCACACAUCACAUACAUGCACACACCACACACCACAUACACGCACACACACCACACACCACAAACACACAACACCACAUACACGCACACACCACACACACACCACACACCACAUACACACACACACCACACACCACAUACACACACACAAACCACAUACACGCACACACACAAAAUACAUACACGCACACACACCACACACCACAUACAUGCACACACCACACACCACAUACACGCACACACACCACAUACACGCACACACGUGCACACACACCACACUUACAUCCACACACACCACACACCACAUACACACACACACAAACCACAUGCACGCACACACACACACCACACACACACACCACACACCACAUACACACACACACCACACACCACAUACACGCACACGCACACACCACAUACAUGCACACACACCACACACACCACAUACACGCACACACACCACUGCACACACACCACACUUACAUCCACACACACCACACACCACAUACACACACACACAAACCACAUGCACGCACACACACACACCACACACACACACCACACACCACAUACACACACACACCACACACCACAUACACGCACACGCACACACCACAUACAUGCACACACACCACACACACCACAUACACGCACACACACCACACACACCACAUACACGCACACACACCACACACACCACAUGCACACACACACAAACCACAUACAUACACACACACCACACACCACAUACACGCACACACACACAAACCACAUACACACACACACCACACACACCACAUACACACACACACCACAUACACGCACACACACCACACACACCACAUACACACACACACCACAUACACGCACACACACCAUGAUCACCACAUGCACACACACACAAACCACAUACAUACACACACACCACACACCACAUACACGCACACACGCUCACAGACACCACACAUACACGCACACACACCACACACCACAUACACACACACCACAUACACGCACACACACACACCACAUACACUCAUACACACCACACACCACAUACACACACACACGCACACACACGCGCACACACACACACCACAUACACGCGCACACACACACACACACACACCAUGCUCUUGUUCAUGAGGUUCUUUAGCUCAG
Molecule: long non-coding RNA, 2231 nt
Organism: Ursus maritimus (polar bear)
Lineage: Eukaryota; Metazoa; Chordata; Mammalia; Carnivora; Ursidae
Source: Ensembl